This 513-nucleotide ribosomal RNA is filed under the name Lucilia cuprina (Australian sheep blowfly). RNAcentral's name for it is "partial small subunit ribosomal RNA". It matches the Rfam family "Bacterial large subunit ribosomal RNA", at positions 1928 to 2650 of the family's 2925-position model. Lineage: Eukaryota; Metazoa; Arthropoda; Insecta; Diptera; Calliphoridae. The record is from RNAcentral.
UGGCCGCAGUAUACUAACUGUGCAAAGGUAGCAUAAUCAUUAGUCUUUUAAUUGAAGGCUGGUAUGAAUGGUUGGACGAGAUAUUAACUGUUUCAUAAAAAUUUAUAAUAGAAUUUUAUUUUUUAGUCAAAAAGCUAAAAUUUAUUUAAAAGACGAGAAGACCCUAUAAAUCUUUAUAUUUAUAUUAUUAUAAUUUUUUAGAUUUUUUUUGUUAUAAUAAUAGAUUAUAUUUUAUUGGGGUGAUAUUAAAAUUUAAUAAACUUUUAAUUGUUUAAAUCAUUAAUUUAUGAAUAAUUGAUCCGUUAUUAGCGAUUAAAAAAACAAGUUACUUUAGGGAUAACAGCGUAAUUUUUUUGGAGAGUUCAUAUCGAUAAAAAAGAUUGCGACCUCGAUGUUGGAUUAAGAUAUAAUUUUAGGUGUAGCCGCUUAAAUUUUAAGUCUGUUCGACUUUUAAAUUCUUACAUGAUCUGAGUUCAAACCGGCGUAAGCCAGGUUGGUUUCUAUCUUUAAAAA